GGGCAGGGAGCCCGCCAGAGUGCGGGGUCGCGGUGCGGACCUCGAGCACGAGCCCUAAAGACGCUCAGCACUCGUCGCUUCUCCUAGCAGACCCUGCCCGGCCUGGCGAUGGAGUUUCCGGACCUCGGCGCUCACUGUUCGGAGCCGAGCUGUCAGCGCUUGGAUUUUCUGCCGCUUAAGUGUGAUGCCUGCUCAGGCAUCUUCUGCGCAGACCAUGUGGCCUACGCCCAGCAUCACUGUGGAUCUGCUUACCAAAAGGUGAGGGGGCGAUCCUCAGGGUGAAAGCAGGCAGAUGGAGAAUGCGUGCAGAAUCCCCCAAAUCUGUGUCUCACGUUUCUUCUCCCUUUUGUCUUUCUGAGGCUGUCAGUGCUGGGAAACACUGUUUUUUUGCGUGUUUGUGGUGGGUCAUAUCCAAGUUCUUUCAAGACCAGAGAUUUGUUGGACUGGAGUGGGCCACAGACUGACCCUUGCUCCUUGACUACAGGAUAUCCAGGUACCUGUGUGCCCUCUCUGUAAUGUGCCUGUGCCUGUGGCCAGAGGGGAGCCCCCUGACCGUGCUGUGGGAGAGCACAUUGACAGAGACUGUCGCUCUGAUCCAGCACAGCAAAAACGUAAGGUAAACAUUGUAGGGGUCAGCCACAACCCAGCUGGGACUAUGGAUGCCUGGAAACCCAAACAGCUAGUCAGAGUCUCAGCAGAGACAACCUUCUCACUUCACCUCAGAUCUUCACCAAUAAGUGUGAGCGCGCUGGCUGCCGGCAGCGAGAAAUGAUGAAACUGACCUGUGAACGCUGUAGCCGAAACUUCUGCAUCAAGCACCGGCAUCCACUGGACCAUGAUUGCUCUGGGGAGGGG
This 855-nucleotide small RNA is filed under the name Pan troglodytes (chimpanzee). RNAcentral's name for it is "retained intron". Lineage: Eukaryota; Metazoa; Chordata; Mammalia; Primates; Hominidae. The record is from RNAcentral.